GGAUUCGCGGCCUAUCAGCUUGUUGGUGAGGUAACGGCUCACCAAGGCAACGACGGGUAGCUGGUCUGAGAGGAUGUCCAGCCACACUGGGACUGAGACACGGCCCAGACUCCUACGGGAGGCAGCAGUUAGGAAUCUUGCGCAAUGGACGAAAGUCUGACGCAGCGACGCCGCGUGCGGGAUGAAGGCCUUCGGGUUGUAAACCGCUUUCAGCAGGGACGAAAUUGACGGUACCUGCAGAAGAAGCCCCGGCCAACUACGUGCCAGCAGCCGCGGUAAUACGUAGGGGGCAAGCGUUGUCCGGAUUUAUUGGGCGUAAAGAGCUCGUAGGUGGUUUGGUUAGUCGGAUGUGAAAUCUCCAGGCUCAACCUGGAGGGGUCAUUCGAUACUGCCAUGACUAGAGGUCGGUAGAGGAGUGUGGAAUUCCUGGUGGAGCGGUGAAAUGCGCAGAUAUCAGGAGGAACACCCGUAGCGAAGGCGGCACUCUGGGCCGAUUCUGACACUGAGGAGCGAAAGCGUGGGGAGCGAACAGGAUUAGAUACCCUGGUAGUCCACGCCGUAAACGUUGGGCACUAGGUGUGGGGUUCUAUCGACGGAUUCCGUGCCGUAGCUAACGCAUUAAGUGCCCCGCCUGGGGAGUACGGAAU
RNAcentral lists this ribosomal RNA (647 nucleotides) under uncultured Actinomycetes bacterium. RNAcentral's name for it is "bacterial SSU rRNA". It matches the Rfam family "Bacterial small subunit ribosomal RNA", at positions 227 to 888 of the family's 1533-position model. Lineage: Bacteria; Bacillati; Actinomycetota; Actinomycetes. The record is from RNAcentral.